Molecule: ribosomal RNA, 431 nt
Filed under: uncultured bacterium
Lineage: Bacteria
Description: bacterial SSU rRNA
Rfam family: Bacterial small subunit ribosomal RNA
Source: RNAcentral
UCGAGGAUCUUCGGCAAUGGGCGCAAGCCUGACCGAGCGACGCCGCGUGCGCGACGAAGGCCUUCGGGUUGUAAAGCGCUGUCGAGGGGGAGGAAGCCGCAAGGUUGACCUAUCCCUGGAGGAAGCACGGGCUAAGUUCGUGCCAGCAGCCGCGGUAAGACGAACCGUGCGAACGUUGUUCGGAAUCACUGGGCUUAAAGGGCGCGUAGGCGGGCUGUCGAGUCCGGGGUGAAAUCGUCCGGCUUAACCGGACAAGGGCCUCGGAGACCGGCAGUCUGGAGGGAGGCAGGGGCACGCGGAACUUCCGGUGGAGCGGUGAAAUGCGUUGAGAUCGGAAGGAACGCCGGUGGCGAAAGCGGCGUGCUGGACCUCUUCUGACGCUGAGGCGCGAAAGCCAGGGGAGCGAACGGGAUUAGAUACCCGCGUAGUCC